Long non-coding RNA from Fukomys damarensis (Damara mole-rat), 422 nucleotides. RefSeq lists it as uncharacterized. The transcript has 2 exons. Lineage: Eukaryota; Metazoa; Chordata; Mammalia; Rodentia; Bathyergidae. The record is from RefSeq and is a predicted model, not a curated record.
GCUCAUCUGUGGGGUUGUAUAAUCCUUCAUCUAUAUAAAUACAGCUGCCCCGCAGCCUCUGGAUGCCUCUCCGGACUCAACUUCUAAGAGCUCUCUCUCUCUCUGCUGCAUCAGGGCCUGCCUGCCGGUCACCAUGAGGAUGCUCCGCCCACUGCUUCUCACAUGCUACCUCCUCUCCCUGCACAUUCUCCCGGGUGCCAGCCUCUUCGAGGGCCUGACUGAAAGAAAUGAGUGAUUCAACUGCAUCAAGCAGGGAGGAAACUGCUUUUCUUACCUUUGCGCUGAUCAGCUUGAGGAGACUGGAAUCUGUGAUGAGGAAACAACACCUUGCUGCAAGUGAGCUGAGAGUGAUUUGGAGAGAAAGCACAGAAGCCAAUGAUGUGUGAUCAUUUUCCUAAUAAAGGAAAGGUUUUUCUGAAGCA